RNAcentral lists this long non-coding RNA (882 nucleotides) under Nicotiana benthamiana. Its description in RNAcentral is "long non-coding RNA (NBEN_LNC008172)". The record is from RNAcentral. Lineage: Eukaryota; Viridiplantae; Streptophyta; Magnoliopsida; Solanales; Solanaceae.
UUCAAUAUGCUAGAACAAAGACACCGUAACAUAGCCAUAUAAGUAAAAAAAACUAAGUCAACGUCCAUAGCAUAUUUAACAGAAUCAUCCAACCAAACUUAUAUGUAUUCAAACGAAUUAAUCUCGAGAACCAAUAUAAAAUCCAAAUAAUACGCAACCAGUACACAAUUAAUAUUAAAGAGAUCAAGUAUUUUUCAUAGAGCAAAUGACUUCUAACAUGAGAAAAUGAAAAGACUAAUAUAUCAAAGCAAGUGUAUACUUAAAAUGUAAAUAAAUAUUGACAAAAUGGAUUCGAAUGGACCUUUAUAUUGAAGGAAUAAGCCAAAAUUUGCAACUCAAUCGGAAUAACAAAGCAAAAAUUAUUAGACUGAAACGCUAAAAUUGCGAACCGAAAUCUCGAAUCGACACAGGAAAACUCGAAACCAAAACAUGACCUCAAUCAAACUUCAUGAGCUGAGGUCAAUAUGGUUAACCCAGUGCUGGUAGUAACGAUAACGCGGAACGAAGGGAUGAUGCAUAAUAAAGAAGAAGAAAUCUUGCCAACAAAAUCUGUAGGAGAAGAAAUCAUGGCUUAUACGGAUUGAGUAGGUGUGAAAAUGAAUUGUUCAAAUGGAAGUAAAGAUUGAAGAUUCGUAUGGUUUAAGGAAUUGGAAUUUGUGGGACAACUGUUCGCCGUAGAUAUUGAAAAGCGUUGUUGACCUUGAAAAAUUUGUUUUGGCCAGUGCUCUCUUUCUCUUAAGGGUGUAGGUGGCUGGAAUAUUUCAAGGGAGGUGGUGGGUGAGGCCUUGGAGACUAAGGUUUCUUGAAUGAAUUUUUGGACCAUGCCGUUCUUUACUUUUUAGGGAAUUAGAAAUUAGGUUAGCAUUUUUUGGGGAAGUCCCC